Molecule: ribosomal RNA, 140 nt
Filed under: uncultured bacterium
Lineage: Bacteria
Description: partial 16S ribosomal RNA
Rfam family: Bacterial small subunit ribosomal RNA
Source: RNAcentral
UGGGGAAUAUUGGGCAAUGGGCGCAAGCCUGACCCAGCAACGCCGCGUGAAGGAAGAAGGCUUUCGGGUUGUAAACUUCUUUUAUCAGGGACGAAACAAAUGACGGUACCUGAUGAAUAAGCCACGGCUAACUACGUGCC